RNAcentral lists this ribosomal RNA (764 nucleotides) under uncultured prokaryote. Its description in RNAcentral is "bacterial SSU rRNA". It matches the Rfam family "Bacterial small subunit ribosomal RNA", at positions 704 to 1482 of the family's 1533-position model. The record is from RNAcentral.
GAACUNCGAUUGCGAAGGCAGCUUGCUGGACUGUAACUGACGCUGAGGCACGAAAGCGUGGGGAUCAAACAGGAUNAGAUACCCUGGUANNCCACGCCGUAAACGAUGAAUGCUAGCUGUUAGCGAUAUACUGUUAGCGGCACAGAGAAAUCGUUAAGCAUUCCACCUGGGGAGUACGCCGGCAACGGUGAAACUCAAAGGAAUUGACGGGGGCCCGCACAAGCGGAGGAACAUGUGGUUUAAUUCGAUGAUACGCGAGGAACCUUACCUGGGCUUAAAUUGCAGUGGAAUAACGUGGAAACAUGUUAGCCUUCGGGCCGCUGUGAAGGUGCUGCAUGGUUGUCGUCAGCUCGUGCCGUGAGGUGUCGGCUUAAGUGCCAUAACGAGCGCAACCCUCAUCGAUAGUUACUAACAGGUUAAGCUGAGGACUCUAUCGAGACUGCCGACGUAAGUCGUGAGGAAGGUGGGGAUGACGUCAAAUCAGCACGGCCCUUACGUCCAGGGCUACACACGUGUUACAAUGGGGGGUACAAAGGGCAGCUACCUGGCGACAGGAUGCUAAUCUCAAAAGCCUCUCUCAGUUCGGAUUGGAGUCUGCAACCCGACUCCAUGAAGCUGGAUUCGCUAGUAAUCGCGCAUCAGCCACGGCGCGGUGAAUACGUUCCCGGGCCUUGUACACACCGCCCGUCAAGCCAUGGGAGCCGGGGGGACCUGAAGUAUGCAACCGUAAGGAGCGUCCUAGGGUAAAACUGGUGACUGGGGCU